UCUAAACGGAGCUGAUGAAAUUAAUAAUCAUCAAAUGACAUUAAAUUAUUUUAAAAAUGAUAGAAUAGAUCGUUUAUUAGAUAUUCAAGAAAGAAAGGUAUCAAAGAAAAAAAGAAAGAGAAAAGAAGCUGAUUUAUAUAAGAUAAUGAAAAUACAAAAUGAAAUGUGUAAAAAAAAGUGUCACUCGUUAUUAGAAUUUGAAGAUGAUAUUAUUUGUAAUUCGAAUAGUAUAAGCAUUGAUGAUAGAGGAGAUCUUCGGACUGAACUUAGUCGGCGACGAGCAGAAAGAUUAAAUAAAUUAUUACCAAUCCAGUCAACUCGCUUACUGCAGUCCGCUUUUCAAGAAGUUGUAAAUGAGACUACAGAAAAAAGUUUAAGAACAAAUCGCAAAUGUUUUUUUAAAGAUCAUAAUGAUUGAAGUCAUAUCACAAUAGAAGCCGAAUUAAGCGAUUGAUUUGAAGAAAAUAAAAUGAAUUCAAUUUUUUAAUUCAUAUAAAUUUAGUAAAAUGAGAAAU
Long non-coding RNA from Ceratosolen solmsi marchali, 515 nucleotides. RefSeq lists it as uncharacterized. NCBI's taxonomy places the organism in Eukaryota, Metazoa, Arthropoda, Insecta, Hymenoptera, Agaonidae. The transcript is spliced from 3 exons. The record is from RefSeq and is a predicted model, not a curated record.